GAGUUUGAUCGUGGCUCAGAUUGAACGCUGGCGGCAGGCCUAACACAUGCAAGUCGAGCGGUAGAGAGAAGCUUGCUUCUCUUGAGAGCGGCGGACGGGUGAGUAAUGCCUAGGAAUCUGCCUGGUAGUGGGGGAUAACGCUCGGAAACGGACGCUAAUACCGCAUACGUCCUACGGGAGAAAGCAGGGGACCUUCGGGCCUUGCGCUGUCAGAUGAGCCUAGGUCGGAUUAGCUAGUUGGUGAGGUAAAUGGCUCACCAAGGCGGCGAUCCGUAACUGGUCUGAGAGGAUGAUCAGUCACACUGGAACUGAGACACGGUCCAGACUCCUACGGGAGGCAGCAGUGGGGAAUAUUGGACAAUGGGCGAAAGCCUGAUCCAGCCAUGCCGCGUGUGUGAAGAAGGUCUUCGGAUUGUAAAGCACUUUAAGUUGGGAGGAAGGGCAGUAAAUUAAUAACUUUGUCUGUUUUGACGUUUACCGACAGAAUAAGCACCGGCUAACUCUGUGCCAGCACG
This 515-nucleotide ribosomal RNA is filed under the name uncultured bacterium. RNAcentral describes it as "bacterial SSU rRNA". It matches the Rfam family "Bacterial small subunit ribosomal RNA", at positions 9 to 515 of the family's 1533-position model. The record is from RNAcentral.